This 399-nucleotide ribosomal RNA is filed under the name Hoolock hoolock (hoolock gibbon). RNAcentral's name for it is "partial 12S ribosomal RNA". It matches the Rfam family "Bacterial small subunit ribosomal RNA", at positions 837 to 1403 of the family's 1533-position model. Lineage: Eukaryota; Metazoa; Chordata; Mammalia; Primates; Hylobatidae. The record is from RNAcentral.
CCUAAACUUCAACAGUCAAAUCAACAAGACUGCUCGCCAGAACACUACGAGCAACAGCUUAAAACUCAAAGGACCUGGCGGUGCUUCAUACCCUCCUAGAGGAGCCUGUCCUAUAAUCGAUAAACCCCGUUCAACCUCACCAUCUCUUGCUCAGCCUAUAUACCGCCAUCUUCAGCAAACCCUGACAAAGGCUAUUAAGUAAGCGCAAACAUCCACGUAAAGACGUUAGGUCAAGGUGUAGCCCAUGAGAUGGGAAGAGAUGGGCUACAUUUUCUACUUCAGAAAACCACGAUAACCCCCAUGAAACUUGAGUGGUCGAAGGAGGAUUUAGCAGUAAAUUAAGAAUAGAGUGCUUAAUUGAACAAGGCCCUGAAGCGCGUACACACCGCCCGUCACCCU